AGUGAACGCUGGCGGUAGGCCUAACACAUGCAAGUCGAACGGCAGCACAGUAAGAGCUUGCUCUUACGGGUGGCGAGUGGCGGACGGGUGAGGAAUACAUCGGAAUCUACUUUUUCGUGGGGGAUAACGUAGGGAAACUUACGCUAAUACCGCAUACGACCUACGGGUGAAAGCAGGGGUUCUUCGGACCUUGCGCGAUUGAAUGAGCCGAUGUCGGAUUAGCUAGUUGGCGGGGUAAAGGCCCACCAAGGCGACGAUCCGUAGCUGGUCUGAGAGGAUGAUCAGCCACACUGGAACUGAGACACGGUCCAGACUCCUACGGGAGGCAGCAGUGGGGAAUAUUGGACAAUGGGCGCAAGCCUGAUCCAGCCAUACCGCGUGAGUGAAGAAGGCCUUCGGGUUGUAAAGCCCUUUUGUUGGGAAAGAAAAGCAGCAGGUUAAUACCCCGCUGUUCUGACGGUACCCAAAGAAUAAGCACCGGCUAACUUCGUG
This 492-nucleotide ribosomal RNA is filed under the name uncultured bacterium. RNAcentral describes it as "partial 16S ribosomal RNA". It matches the Rfam family "Bacterial small subunit ribosomal RNA", at positions 29 to 507 of the family's 1533-position model. The record is from RNAcentral.